GGAGCUUGCUCCCUGAUGUUAGCGGCGGACGGGUGMGUMACAYGUGGGUAACCUGCCUGUAAGACUGGGAUAACUCCGGGAAACCGGGGCUAAUACCGGAUGGUUGUUUGAACCGCAUGGUUCAAACAUAAAAGGUGGCUUCGGCUACCACUUACAGAUGGACCCGCGGCGCAUUAGCUAGUUGGUGAGGUAACGGCUCACCAAGGCAACGAUGCGUAGCCGACCUGAGAGGGUGAUCGGCCACACUGGGACUGAGACACGGCCCAGACUCCUACGGGAGGCAGGCAGUAGGGAAUCUUCCGCAAUGGACGAAAGUCUGACGGGAGCAACGCCGCGUGAGUGAUGAAGGUUUUCGGAUCGUAAAGCUCUGUUGUUAGGGAAGAACAAGUACCGUUCGAAUAGGGCGGUACCUUGACGGUACCUAACCAGAAAGCCACGGCUAACUACGUGCCAGCAGCCGCGGUAAUACGUAGGUGGCAAGCGUUGUCCGGAAUUAUUGGGCGUAAAGGGCUCGCAGGCGGUUUCUUAAGUCUGAUGUGAAAGCCCCCGGCUCAACCGGGGAGGGUCAUUGGAAACUGGGGAACUUGAGUGCAGAAGAGGAGAGUGGAAUUCCACGUGUAGCGGUGAAAUGCGUAGAGAUGUGGAGGAACACCAGUGGCGAAGGCGACUCUCUGGUCUGUAACUGACGCUGAGGAGCGAAAGCGUGGGGAGCGAACAGGAUUAGAUACCCUGGUAGUCCACGCCGUAAACGAUGAGUGCUAAGUGUUAGGGGGUUUCCGCCCCUUAGUGCUGCAGCUAACGCAUUUAAGCACUCCGCCUGGGGAGUACGGUCGCAAGACUGAAACUCAAAGGAAUUGACGGGGGCCCGCACAAGCGGUGGAGCAUGUGGUUUAAUUCCAAGCAACGCGAAGAACCUUACCAGGUCUUGACAUCCUCUGACAAUCCUAGAGAUAGGACGUCCCCUUUCGGGGGGCAGAGUGACAGGUGGUUGCAUGGUGUCGUCAGCUCGUGUCCGUGAGAUGUGGGGCUUAAAGUCCCGCAAACGAGCGCAAACC
This 1055-nucleotide ribosomal RNA is filed under the name Bacillus sp. CX10. RNAcentral's name for it is "bacterial SSU rRNA". It matches the Rfam family "Bacterial small subunit ribosomal RNA", at positions 75 to 1104 of the family's 1533-position model. Lineage: Bacteria; Bacillati; Bacillota; Bacilli; Caryophanales; Bacillaceae. The record is from RNAcentral.